GAUGAACGCUAGCGGCAGGCUUAAUACAUGCAAGUCGAGGGGCAGCAGGGGUAGCAAUACUCGCUGGCGACCGGCAAACGGGUGCGGAACACGUACGCAACCUUCCCAAAACUGGUGAAUAGCCCUCCGAAAGGAGGAUUAAUACACCGUAACAUAGUGAAGUGGCAUCACUUUAUUAUUAUAGCUCCGGCGGUUUUGGAUGGGCGUGCGCCUGAUUAGGUAGUUGGCGGGGUAACGGCCCACCAAGCCUGCGAUCAGUAACUGGUGUGAGAGCACGACCAGUCACACGGGCACUGAGACACGGGCCCGACUCCUACGGGAGGCAGCAGUAAGGAAUAUUGGUCAAUGGACGCAAGUCUGAACCAGCCAUGCCGCGUGGAGGAUGAAGGUCCUCU
Molecule: ribosomal RNA, 395 nt
Filed under: uncultured bacterium
Lineage: Bacteria
Description: bacterial SSU rRNA
Rfam family: Bacterial small subunit ribosomal RNA
Source: RNAcentral